Molecule: long non-coding RNA, 1534 nt
Organism: Sinocyclocheilus anshuiensis
Lineage: Eukaryota; Metazoa; Chordata; Actinopteri; Cypriniformes; Cyprinidae
Source: Ensembl
UAGAAAUGACGUCAAGUGAUGUGCUUAUCUGACUAUAAUUACUGAUGUGUUUGAACCUGUAUUCAGUUUUGUUGUCUGAAACCGAGGCAACUUUUGAUGAUCACUUCAUCAAUUGAAAUCGCACAACUUGAAUUCAGUAACACUUUAUCAGUUUUUUGAACAUCUCAACUUCUGGUCUCCAUUCCUCAUACAGGCCCAACCCCAGACAGCUUCUUCAUUGUAGCCUCUGAUGAACCAACACAUAAGGUGAAAUUGUUACCAUGGGGAUUCUUCUAGCAGUCGCAGCAGAAAUAGCAGUCAGUACAAUAGCAGCUGUUACCGAAGCAGCAGCAGAAGCAGCAGCAGCAGCAAUAUCUGUCACCACUGCAGAAUUUUCAGAGGAAACAGCUGUCCUAGGAGAGAUUGCAGCAGAAGCAGCAGCUGAAGAUGCAGCUGAAGCAGCAGCAGCAGGGCUUGUUGUUGAUGUGGGAGAAGAAACUGAAAUAAUCACUCAGAAAUGCUUAUUAUUUAUAGCAAAGUUCAACAAAUCGAUAAAAGAAUUCUGUGCCAUUGAUGCCAUUUUUAAAGCUGCAAACGAGCUUUUGCACAACUGUUCUACACAUAACAUAUGCAAUAAAUCUGAGAGACUGAACAAAUCUCUUGACAUUUUACACAAGCUCCAGACCAAAAUGACAGAUGUCAGUAACUGGCUUGAAGAGCACAAGGGUGAUACUGUGAUACUUGAAGGAUUUCAGGUACCUCUGGAUUCAGCGCUUUUGAAAAAAGUCUUGAAACCAUUAUCAAUGGCUCUUGGAUCAUUGGAAAAGCUCACAGCUGAUGUCAGUAAACUCAACAUGAAUAACCAAGUCAUCAGUAAUGCCCAGAUUCUUUCACUUGAUAGAAGUAUGAUCCGUAUUGUGGCAACUUUUCAUGAAUUAGCUGCCUUUAAAGAAGAGAAAAGUGAUAAAAUUCCCAUUCUGAAUUCAUUUCCUAUUACCAUGGAAGAAGUGAAUGAAUGGAAAGAUGAACUUGGCUUUGCAGAUGAUGGAGGGUUAUGUGUUUUAAACAGUGAGAGAUAUAAAUAUCCAGAAUAGGUGUCAAAUGCAAAGUGACUUUGAACAUCAUAAUUUUAAAAGGAUUUUGUUUGUUGAGUGGAGUCUUGAAUCAAAGGGAGUGUAUUGUUUUAUAAUCACGUGACAAAAAGCCAUUUUGAUUAAUAUACAUAUGUUUCAUUUAAUUACUUAAGAGUACUAAGAAAGUAAUUUUAUUCAUUAUAAUAAGCAACCAGUGUCACAUCAAGUGUAGUUUAGUAACUGUUUUAUAUUUGAAUAGAAGUUGCCAAGUCUUUGUUUGCCAUCUUAUCUACUUCUUAAGUCUUUCUGAAUCUCUUCUUGAGUCUUUUUAAUCCUUUCCUUGACCAAGGCACAUGUGUUUCUUGGAAUGCCCAAGGCCUUUUUUACUCUAAGGAAAUAUGGGUUGUGACAAAGAAAUUCCUUUUGUUCAUUGUCAAUGCUACUGUGGAAAUAAAACAUUUUUAAACCAGUGCAAUUUGAUG